CCUACGGGGUGCUGCAGUGAGGAAUAUUGGUCAAUGGGCGAGAGCCUGAACCAGCCAAGUCGCGUGAGGGAGUACUGCCCUAUGGGUUGUAAACCUCUUUUGUCGGGGAGCAAAAGCCGGACGUGUUCGGCUGUGAGAGUACCCGAAGUAAAAGCAUCGGCUAACUCCGUGCCAGCAGCCGCGGUAAUACGUAGGGAGCAAGCGUUAUCCGGAAUUAUUGGGUGUAAAGGGUGCGUAGACGGGAGUCUAAGUUAGUUGUGAAAUCCCUCGGCUCAACUGAGGAACUGCAACUAAAACUGGACAUCUUGAGUGCAGGAGAGGAAAGUGGAAUUCCUAGUGUAGCGGUGAAAUGCGUAGAUAUUAGGAGGAACACCAGUGGCGAAGGCGACUUGCUGGACUGUAACUGACGUUGUGGCACGAAAGUGUGGGGAGCAAACAGGAUUAGAUACCCCAGUAGUC
Molecule: ribosomal RNA, 459 nt
Filed under: uncultured bacterium
Lineage: Bacteria
Description: partial 16S ribosomal RNA
Rfam family: Bacterial small subunit ribosomal RNA
Source: RNAcentral